GACAGAGGGGGCAAGCGUUGCUCGGAAUUAUUGGGCGUAAAGGGCUCGUAGGCGGUCUGUUGCGUCGGGAGUGAAAACUCAGGGCUUAACCCUGAGCCUGCUUCCGAUACGGGCAGACUAGAGGUAUGCAGGGGAGAACGGAAUUCCUGGUGUAGCGGUGAAAUGCGCAGAUAUCAGGAGGAACACCGGUGGCGAAGGCGGUUCUCUGGGCAUUACCUGACGCUGAGGAGCGAAAGUGUGGGGAGCAAAC
This 250-nucleotide ribosomal RNA is filed under the name uncultured bacterium. RNAcentral describes it as "partial 16S ribosomal RNA". It matches the Rfam family "Bacterial small subunit ribosomal RNA", at positions 524 to 773 of the family's 1533-position model. The record is from RNAcentral.